This is a long non-coding RNA of Entelurus aequoreus (snake pipefish), 837 nucleotides long. RefSeq lists it as uncharacterized. The transcript is spliced from 4 exons. Lineage: Eukaryota; Metazoa; Chordata; Actinopteri; Syngnathiformes; Syngnathidae. The record is from RefSeq and is a predicted model, not a curated record.
AGCACCGUGACCACCACUAGGGGUUCAGGCGGGGUCCUAGGCAACUGGGACAGGGCAUCUGUGCUGGGCUUCAAUAAAGUUGAGCAAGAGUUGGCAGCCAUCGCUUGGCCUCCCGUGCUCGCCCGUAUCUGCUCAGAACAGGUGGAGGCUCGCCGCAGCAUCCGCAGCCCAGACAGCAGCCCCCUGCACCCCCACACAUCUCGUGCCACAUGGCAGCCGUCCCUCAGCGAGUCUGGUCCAUUCUUUAGCGAACACGCCUGCCCGCCAUCGCCGCAUGCUGCCCGUUGUUGAGCCACAAUGAGAGGAAGAAUAGCAGCACCCAUAAUCCCUUGGUUCUGCUCCUAGUCUGGUGGCACCCUCUCAAUCAGACUUCUUGAAAGCGUCUCUGAUCGCCGGGGCCGUCUCAUGAGAUGCCGUAGUUGUUGUAGUAGGCGGCGGUGGCGUCGGCCAGCACCGAGAUGAGACUGGUCUCCGUGGUGCUACUGGGACACGUCAAGGUGGAGACGGGGGAGGAGGCGGAGGACACCUGGACGUGGCCCGUGACCGUGACCUGCUCGGCAUGGAAGCCGCCCCCGGUGGAGUUCAGGUACUGGUCAAACUCGUCGCGGUCCACCUCGCCCAGGAGUUCGGCCUGACUCAGCUGGUCCAGCGUCUCCAGGUGAGCCUGCGUCUCCGGGGGCGGGGACAGCUGCCCUAGGUGGCCUUGAUGGUGGAGGUGAAUUUGAGGGAAGUGGGAGGGACUGUAGUAAGAGAAAGGAGUUAUCAGUCCUUGGCCGCCGCCGCCGCCACCUGUAGGGACCAUGUGGGGCAUGUGUGCGCCACCACAAUGGAUUUGGG